Molecule: small RNA, 85 nt
Filed under: Clostridium carboxidivorans P7
Lineage: Bacteria; Bacillati; Bacillota; Clostridia; Eubacteriales; Clostridiaceae
Source: RNAcentral
AUUUAUUAAGAUAAAGCUAUUAAAGUAGUUACUUACUUUAUAGUGAUUUUAUAAAAUGAUGUCAAAGAUACUUUUAUAUGUGAUU